This 500-nucleotide ribosomal RNA is filed under the name uncultured bacterium. Its description in RNAcentral is "partial 16S ribosomal RNA". It matches the Rfam family "Bacterial small subunit ribosomal RNA", at positions 32 to 507 of the family's 1533-position model. The record is from RNAcentral.
AAUCAACGCUGGCGGCGUGCCUAACACAUGCAAGUCGAACGCGAAAGCCCCGCAAGGGGUAAGUAGAGUGGCAAACGGGUGAGUAACACGUGGGUGACCUGCCUUCGAGUGGGGGAUAACGUCCCGAAAGGGACGCUAAUACCGCAUAACAUCCUGCUUUUGAAAAAGCGGAGAUCAAAGCUGGGGAUCGCAAGACCUAGCGCUUGAAGAGGGGCCCGCGCCUGAUUAGCUAGUUGGUGAGGUAACGGCUCACCAAGGCGACGAUCAGUAUCCGGCCUGAGAGGGCGGACGGACACACUGGGACUGAGACACGGCCCAGACUCCUACGGGAGGCAGCAGUGGGGAAUUGUUCGCAAUGGGCGCAAGCCUGACGACGCAACGCCGCGUGGAGGACGAAGAUCUUCGGGUCGUAAACUCCUGUCGAGCGGGACGAACGCUUCGCGGAUGAAUAAUCCGCGGAAUUGACGGUACCGCUAAAGGAAGCCCCGGCUAACUCCGUG